CCCACGGCUUACGCCGUGGGCUAUCUUCUGCCGCCGCUCCGCGGCU
Molecule: small RNA, 46 nt
Filed under: Acidobacteriia bacterium SbA2
Lineage: Bacteria; Pseudomonadati; Acidobacteriota; Terriglobia
Description: Solibacteres bacterium SbA2 Acido-Lenti-1
Rfam family: Acido-Lenti-1 RNA
Source: RNAcentral